GCCUUCGUGGUAUAGUGGUCAGUACGCUCGACGCAUAUUCGAGAGGUCCGUGGUUCGAGUCCCGGCGAGGGCA
Non-coding RNA from Stegodyphus mimosarum, 73 nucleotides. The record is from Rfam. NCBI's taxonomy places the organism in Eukaryota, Metazoa, Arthropoda, Arachnida, Araneae, Eresidae.